UCUACAUUCACAUGUGAUUGUGUCAACAUAUUUGACAGUUUUGUUAACGGCGCAUUAAAUUUAAUGUUUCAUAAACAAGUUGACUGCAGACUGUUGAAGACUGAAAAAAAACGCGUCUACAACGAGCUGACCGCAGACUUUUUUGUUUUAUCAAUUUGGCAAACAUUUUUGAGUGGAAAUGAAAAACUGAUUUUCAUCCAUCAAACUGCAACGAAAUUCAACUAUGGAUGACGUCAAAAAAAUAUGGGCGAGGCGAUCAAUAGACCCUGGAAUCAUCGACGAGGAGCAAUUGAUCGACGAUUGUUUGGAAUUUAAAUUACAAAGAAAGCACAUUAAGUAAAAUGGAAUAACUGAAUAUGGACCAGAAUUUGCUGGAAUAUCCUGGGUCUAGAGCGGCUCAUCUUCUAUCACUACAACUUUAGAAAAAUCUUCAAUAACUAAAUGAUCGAAUGACAUAAUAAGCAAAAAUGUCACCAAACACUUGUACUUACCUCUGAAUAAACACAUCUGAUUUGCAAAAAUAUGCAAA
Molecule: long non-coding RNA, 529 nt
Organism: Sitodiplosis mosellana (orange wheat blossom midge)
Lineage: Eukaryota; Metazoa; Arthropoda; Insecta; Diptera; Cecidomyiidae
Exons: 2
Source: RefSeq, a predicted model, not a curated record